This 792-nucleotide long non-coding RNA is filed under the name Pan troglodytes (chimpanzee). RNAcentral's name for it is "lincRNA". Lineage: Eukaryota; Metazoa; Chordata; Mammalia; Primates; Hominidae. The record is from RNAcentral.
GCUGUAUCGAUUGUUGAGAUCUGGCGACUUGUUUAAAUUUCAUCAGCCUCACUUCUAUGAACUCUCAGGCCUCAUGUGUACCAGCUCUCUGCUCUCCUUUGCCUUGGGACGUUCCAUCCCUGGAAGUUUCCCUGCCCACAUCUUUGUAGAGAGUCCAUUCUCCAAGCUUCAGUGUGUCAUCUGUGAGGACUGUGACCAACCUGGUACAUCGCCUCAGGGCAUUCAUUUCAGGCUCCUUCUAAAUGGUCAAGACAAAACACCAACAUUUUUGUAAUGGCCUGCAAGGCCUUCCGAGAUCUGCCUCCUGCAACUCAGCUUCUCCUGUGCUCUCCUUCUGGACUCACUCUGCCUCAGCAACACUGGUCCCUGUUGCCCCACCAAUAUACCAGGCACCCUUGGAAAUGCAAUGCUACAUCUCAAUGGGAUUUUCCAGUACAAAGAUUCUUUUCAAAUAACAUAAUUGUGGAUACACACCACUCCUACAGUGGUAAACCUCAGGUUCUCCUCCUGCCUUUUGCUAAGUAUAUGUCUUGAUGACAAGCCUUCUGCUGAUGAGCUGUGUUUCUGGACCGAUCAUGGUAGAAGUCAAUUAACGUGUCCCUCACUUGGGGUUUCUCAAGGCUGCACUGAUGAGGAAACUGAAACAGAAAAUCCAGAGUAAAUUCCACCAGGCCACACAGCAAGGUCUGAUAGAGCCAGGAGAGACUUUAUGAAAUCCAGACUCUCACACUAAUGCUCUAUCAGCUAGACCUCCAUGUGAGUCUCCCCAAUGUAGGUAGGAAGUGCUUUCCC